RNAcentral lists this ribosomal RNA (460 nucleotides) under uncultured bacterium. Its description in RNAcentral is "partial 16S ribosomal RNA". It matches the Rfam family "Bacterial small subunit ribosomal RNA", at positions 338 to 795 of the family's 1533-position model. The record is from RNAcentral.
CCUACGGGGGGCAGCAGUGAGGAAUAUUGGUCAAUGGGCUAAGGCCUGAACCAGCCAAGUCGCGUGAGGGAAGACGGUCCUAUGGAUUGUAAACCUCUUUUGUCGGGGAGCAACGAGGCCACGUGUGGCCGAAGUGAGAGUACCCGAAGAAAAAGCAUCGGCUAACUCCGUGCCAGCAGCCGCGGUAAUACGGAGGAUGCGAGCGUUAUCCGGAUUUACUGGGUGUAAAGGGCGUGUAGGCGGGAAAGCAAGUCAGAUGUGAAAACCAUGGGCUCAACCUGUGGCCUGCAUUUGAAACUGUUUUUCUUGAGUACUGGAGAGGCAGACGGAAUUCCUAGUGUAGCGGUGAAAUGCGUAGAUAUUAGGAGGAACACCAGUGGCGAAGGCGGUCUGCUGGACAGCAACUGACGCUGAGGCGCGAAAGCGUGGGGAGCAAACAGGAUUAGAUACCCGAGUAGUC